CAAGCGCACCGCCUCGACGCAGAGGCUAGAAGCUCCAGCUAUGUUGUGGUGAUACUCACCAACUCUAGCGAUGACGACGACAGGGGGUGACGCGCGUGGAGCUUGAGGCAGGGGCGGGACCGCACCCGCGUCUACUGUAACAGGAAGAGACGCGUGGGCUGGCUUCCAUGUGAUCGACAAGCAUAUCUUGCCCCACAUCAAGAGGUGUCGCGCCACUGCCGAAGAGCUAGUUGCCACUGAGCAUGCAGUAGUGAAUGUCGAAGAAGUGGCUUCGGGCCGCCAAGAAGGAGCAGGAGCUCACGGUGCGCUGCGCAAGUCCGCCAUCAAAUAUUACUUCGGCUACGAUAAGUGAGCACGACGAGCAUGCCCACGAACUAGGAUUAGGGUUAGGUUUCCUUAGUAUGUAAUCCUUUCGGUAUGCUAGUGUGAACUCUGUUUGAUGAAUUAGUCUAUGUUUGUGUAAACUGUUGCGUGAUCUCGAACAAAUUCUCGCACGAAAAUAGUUUGCCAAAUUACCUAGUAUUGUUUUGCAUAUUUGUUUCAGCUGAAUAAUUUGCAACCCGUAUGUUUCAGAAUUUCGG
This 581-nucleotide long non-coding RNA is filed under the name Hordeum vulgare. RNAcentral describes it as "long non-coding RNA (HVUL_LNC005359)". The record is from RNAcentral. Lineage: Eukaryota; Viridiplantae; Streptophyta; Magnoliopsida; Poales; Poaceae.